ACAGCGGAAGGGAUCAUUACCGAGUUUACAACUCCCAAACCCCUGUGAACAUACCUUAAUGUUGCCUCGGCGGAUCAGCCCGCGCCCCGUAAAACGGGACGGCCCGCCAGAGGACCCAAACUCUAAUGUUUCUUAUUGUAACUUCUGAGUAAAACAAACAAAUAAAUCAAAACUUUCAACAACGGAUCUCUUGGUUCUGGCAUCGAUGAAGAACGCAGCAAAAUGCGAUAAGUAAUGUGAAUUGCAGAAUUCAGUGAAUCAUCGAAUCUUUGAACGCACAUUGCGCCCGCUGGUAUUCCGGCGGGCAUGCCUGUUCGAGCGUCAUUUCAACCCUCAAGCCCCCGGGUUUGGUGUUGGGGAUCGGCUCUGCCCUUCUGGGCGGUGCCGCCCCCGAAAUACAUUGGCGGUCUCGCUGCAGCCUCCAUUGCGUAGUAGCUAACACCUCGCAACUGGAACGCGGCGCGGCCAUGCCGUAAAACCCCAACUUCUGAAUGUUGACCUCGGAUCAGGUAGGAAUACCCGCUGAACUUAAGCAUAUCAAUAAGCGGAGGAA
RNAcentral lists this ribosomal RNA (553 nucleotides) under uncultured Fusarium. Its description in RNAcentral is "eukaryotic LSU rRNA". The stretch from base 171 to 324 matches the Rfam family "5.8S ribosomal RNA". Lineage: Eukaryota; Fungi; Ascomycota; Sordariomycetes; Hypocreales; Nectriaceae. The record is from RNAcentral.